UCAGCAUUCCAUAAAUGGCAGCUGAUAUUAUUACAGAACUAUCACUGAGAUCUGACUAAACAUCCAGAAAUAUUGUUAAAGCAAGAAGGACAAGUGGCAAGAAUUAAACAGAAACCUCCACAUGGCCCUGGGGUAACACAUGAAGAAAACAGAAGGAUUUUAUGUUUAUAUGUGACUGAACCUUUUACAAGUCACGACCCACCAUUCACCUGGCCAGUCACUGGAAAUCAUUCUUCCCCCUACAUCCGGUCACCAAGUUUCAUCAGCUCUACAUCUGCCUACUUUUGCACAUCU
This 294-nucleotide long non-coding RNA is filed under the name Moschus moschiferus (Siberian musk deer). RNAcentral describes it as "lncRNA (ENSMMSG00000008715.1)". The record is from RNAcentral. Lineage: Eukaryota; Metazoa; Chordata; Mammalia; Artiodactyla; Moschidae.